This 253-nucleotide ribosomal RNA is filed under the name uncultured bacterium. RNAcentral describes it as "partial 16S ribosomal RNA". It matches the Rfam family "Bacterial small subunit ribosomal RNA", at positions 524 to 776 of the family's 1533-position model. The record is from RNAcentral.
UACGUAGGGGGCAAGCGUUGUCCGGAAUCAUUGGGCGUAAAGCGCGUGUAGGCGGCCUGGAAAGUCUGGUGUGAAAUCCUGCGGCUCAACCGCAGACUGUCACUGGAUACUGUCAGGCUUGAGUCCGGAAGAGGAGAGUGGAAUUCCUGGUGUAGCGGUGGAAUGCGCAGAUAUCAGGAGGAACACCAAUGGCGAAGGCAGCUCUCUGGUACGUGACUGACGCUGAGACGCGAAAGCGUGGGGAGCAAACAGG